This is a long non-coding RNA of Alosa sapidissima (American shad), 2862 nucleotides long. RefSeq lists it as uncharacterized. NCBI's taxonomy places the organism in Eukaryota, Metazoa, Chordata, Actinopteri, Clupeiformes, Clupeidae. The record is from RefSeq and is a predicted model, not a curated record. The transcript is spliced from 2 exons.
UCACAUCAGCCAGUGGCAAGCAGCAGCGGCAAACGUAACGCAACGCUCAGACCAUAAUAAGUUAUAUCUCGUUCCUAAGCAGGAGUGUGCGGUCCAUAUGGGCAGGUGGGGCAGCGAACUACCUGAAGCAUCCUCCACAAAAAAUAGUUCCUCAGUAAAUCAUUGCUCCAAGUCUACUUUUAAUAAUGUGAUUGUCACAUUAAUUAUCUAUAGUUUCUGUAGGCUUUCCAACUAUUUUUGGUCUAUUGACAUCAACUUUUGGAUGAUGGUGGCGAUUCUCGUUGAGUUUAAUGUGUCAUGCAAUGUUGGGGCAGGGCACCUCGACGAUCGCAUUCCUCAAUAAAUUAUCGCAUAACCCUGGCGGCUUCAAUAAGGAUUGCAAUCUGCGCUAAAAGACGCCUGUAUGGUCGUAAAGUAGUCUGCCCCAUGGUCAUAUUCUAGAACUAGCCUACUCAAAUUAUUCCGCCAGUUAUAAAUUAGGCCUAUCGUUUCAUUUCAAGAUGCAGAAAUGGCGAGUAGUGUUGCACCUGUUAACUGUGUUGAGUUUCUGUUUAAAAAAACUAUUUGAGAGGUUGAAAUUAGAAGAUACGUUAGCUAACCCUGGUGUCUUCCUUGGUUUAGUAGCUAGCUUCUAGUGGAUUUAAUAGCAUCUUUUGACAGCGCAAAAACGAGAAGGCAACGGUGUUCAAAGGUAUGGCAUAGGCUGCUGCAUUCAGAAUGAGCUAUCAAUAUAGCCUAGUUUCUACAGCGAGUGGUCAGACAAUUAUCCAUAACACCCAACUGUCUUGAGUUGCAGUUAUAAAACCCAACUACUUAAAAAUAUUAGAUAGUUAGCAGGCCAGACAGAACACAAAAAAAAAAUAGUUUUGUUUACCCAUAGCAACAACGUUGCUAUGCUUCGCUGGUUUAACGUGAUGAGAAUGGGGCAAACUUAACUGAUGGGUUACUGAUCUACAAUUCUGACUGUGACAUGAUUUAAGCAUACCGCAAAGUCCUUUAAAAUAUGUCAUUUUAAUGUAGCCCAAAAUGAUAGGCUAUUAAAAAAAGUCAGACUUUCUGCCCUACCAAAAUGUAUGGUCACCGCACGCUACAGUUCCUAAGCAACACAAACGGUUUGUCAAUUGAAUACACUCGCGUUGUUAAACCAAGUUCAACGCUCAGCUUGUUCAACGCUAGUGUUACGCCAGUGUUGCCACCGUUAGGCUGCCGAACCAUAGAGAACAAUAGGAAACCUGUCGCUUGCCGCUGGCUAAUGUGAUCCCCGCCUUAUGACUAGAUUACUGAGAGAGCGACAUCGAAAAAUUUAACAAAAAGAAUAGCUCAAAAUUAUACCCACGACAUGUUACCUCGAACCUAAACACAUGAGAUUGGGGGAAAAGAGUGGUUUUUUUUUUCAGAACUGUUUUUCAGAUUGGGCUGAAAAGUUUGGAAAGUUUUGGCUACACUGAAAUCUCAACUGAAGCAGUAAGUAGUGUAUACAGAUCAAAAAGUGUUGAAAAAAAGUUGAAGUAGAAGUACAGUUGUAGGCUUUUUGUGUUUAUUCAGAUGAAGGACAGUGAAGAGUGACAGGAAGCGAGUGGGAGAGCGAGAUAAGGGUUUUAUCAGGAAAUUACUGCGGGACUGCGGGAUCCACUUCAGUUGCAUGUCCAGGUGUACCCUGGCCAUUUCAUUGACAUUUCCUGACUAAAUGAAUCCAUGUGCCACAACCAUUGUUCACGGUAGAGUUGUCUAGGUUUAAUCAUGUGGAAUGGCUGAAUCCAAAACUGUUAUUUUACAAGUUUCUAAAUUCAGUGUCAACCACUAUACAGUAUACAGUAUAUAAAAGUACAGAUAUAUAGUAUACACUACUUUAUGAUUUCUAUAGAAGUUCUAUGAUAGUGUUUCUCAGUGGGGGGAGGGGGUGGGGUUGAAAACAUAACCUUCUUGGUGGAGGAUCUGUUACAGAUAUGGGGGAAUGCAAAAGUGUUAUUUCAUGUUACGUUUUAGCUUAUUAGAGUUUUUUAGAUACUUUAGCGUCAGACUGAUCAAUCAGGUCAUUAUUUUGAACUUAUUAUUGAUUAAAUCUUCACUCUUUUACAAAGCUGUAGAAGUACAAUUGUGGGCUUUUUAUGUUUAUUCAGAUGAAGGACAGUGAAGAAUGACAGGAAGCGAGUGGGAGAGCGAGAUUAGGGUGUUAACAGGAAAUGACCGCAGGAGGGACCUCUGUGGGCACAUGACCCAGACUUUGCUACGUGUGCUGCAGACACGUGUGCAUCAGCUCCCCCUGUUUUUUUAUAAAAUGUCCCCGGCAGUGGUGUAGUCUACAUGAUAUUAUCAUUUGAGGUUGAUUACAGUAUACCCACUACAGCUAACUAGACUACACCACUGGUCUCCGGCACAUACAUACAUGAUUAAACCUAGACAACUCUACCGUGCACAAUGAUUGUGGCACAUGGACUCAUUUUGUCAGGAAAUGCCAAUGUAACAGCCAGGAUACACCCGGACAUGCAACGGAAGUGGAACGUUCCUGGAGCAUAUGCUGCAACAUUUAGCUUCCACUUAGAGUCAAUGUAACAGGCCGAUGUAAGCAAUUUUUUUUCUCGGCUUGAGGUGCUACUCAAAAAAGAUCUUCAGGGUUGGCAGUUUAUUGGAGUUCUUAUAGUGUCAGUGCUGUCAGACUCAUCAAUCAGGUAAUUAUUUUGAACUCAUUAUUGUUUACUUCACUAUUUUACACAGCUGGCUGGCUUUCUUGACACGCACACACACAUUUGCUGCUCAUUUGGCAAUGCUAUAAAUGGCACCUACUGCUGUUACUGCUUUUGUUCAUAGUAUAUUUACUAUAUUUGCUCAUGUAUGCCUUGAUUCAAUAAAACUGGUUUUCCA